UGCCAGACUCCUACGGGAGGCAGCAGUGGGGAAUAUUGCACAAUGGGGGAAACCCUGAUGCAGCGACGCCGCGUGAGCGAUGAAGUAUUUCGGUAUGUAAAGCUCUAUCAGCAGGGAAGAAAAUGACGGUACCUGACUAAGAAGCCCCGGCUAACUACGUGCCAGCAGCCGCGGUAAUACGUAGGGGGCAAGCGUUAUCCGGAUUUACUGGGUGUAAAGGGAGCGUAGACGGCAAUGCAAGCCAGAUGUGAAAGCCCGGGGCUCAACCCCGGGACUGCAUUUGGAACUGUGUAGCUGGAGUGUCGGAGAGGCAGGCGGAAUUCCUAGUGUAGCGGUGAAAUGCGUAGAUAUUAGGAGGAACACCAGUGGCGAAGGCGGCCUGCUGGACGAUGACUGACGUUGAGGCUCGAAAGCGUGGGGAGCAAACAGGAUUAGAUACCCCUGUAU
Molecule: ribosomal RNA, 447 nt
Filed under: uncultured bacterium
Lineage: Bacteria
Description: bacterial SSU rRNA
Rfam family: Bacterial small subunit ribosomal RNA
Source: RNAcentral